UGGGGAAUAUUGGGCAAUGGGGGGAACCCUGACCCAGCAACGCCGCGUGAAGGAAGAAGGUUUUCGGAUUGUAAACUUCUGUCCUUGGUGAAGAGGAAGAGACGGUAGCCAAGGAGGAAGCCCCGGCUAACUACGUGCCAGCAGCCGCGGUAAUACGUAGGUGGCAAGCGUUGUCCGGAUUUACUGGGUGUAAAGGGCGUGUAGGCGGGCAUUCAAGUCAGAUGUGAAAUUUAUGGGCUCAACCCAUAACGUGCAUUUGAAACUGAGUGUCUUGAGUGAUGGAGAGGCAGGCGGAAUUCCUAGUGUAGCGGUGAAAUGCGUAGAUAUUAGGAGGAACACCAGUGGCGAAGGCGGCCUGCUGGACAUUAACUGACGCUGAGGCGCGAAAGCGUGGGGAGCAAACAGG
This 406-nucleotide ribosomal RNA is filed under the name uncultured prokaryote. RNAcentral's name for it is "bacterial SSU rRNA". It matches the Rfam family "Bacterial small subunit ribosomal RNA", at positions 355 to 776 of the family's 1533-position model. The record is from RNAcentral.